CUUUGCUAUCACGGACCAGGAGACCAUUUUGGAGCCACGGGUGGACCUAAGACAGUGGCCCGAGCCCAUGGACAGAAAGGAGACUCAAGUCUGCCUGCUGCCCAUCGGCUCUUCAACUCCCAGCUGAGUUAAUAGGUAACCCAGCAGCCUCGCCCACACACGCCUCCUCUUGCGCAGGGCAGCUGGGACAGCUGGAAUUGGAGACACUUGAGAGCCACGGGGACAUGGAGAGGAACUGGGGUAGAUGGCCAGGCCAUGCCCCUUCUAGUUGGGACUGGACCAGUAAAAAUGGCACACCAAUGAGGCCACUUUGCAGAUGGGCGGGUGGGGAGCUGAAAGUGCAAUCCACGGUGCCAACAAGCCUCUGGAAAAAAGCAGGGUGGGAGAGAGCAGGCUGGAAAGUGGAGCUCAGUUGUCUAUGUCUGUCCGUCUGUCCGUCUGCCUAUCUGCUAGAGCCAGAACUUUGGGGUCACAGGCCAGGGCCUGGCAACAGUGAGGCACUCUACAAACAGCAUGAGGUGUGACAAAGUCUGCUGCCGAGCUCUAUAAACAGCACUGAGCGCUGAAACAAGCGCCAGGUUCUGUCAAAAAUGAAGGGGUCAGCAAAAUGCACCAGGCUGUGCAACCAGCCCUGACUGCCGAAACCCUCCAGCCCCAGCUCCAGCCCCUCAGGAGGGGACUGCGUGGGAGGAAUGACUCCAGCAAGCCGGCAGCUGACCCGUCUCCUGCCUGCACGCCUCCCGCUGUGGUCCACUGCCGGUGGUCUUCAGCUCUCUCCUCGUCCCACCCCCAUGGUCUGCUGACAGCCCAGCUCAGUGCAUCCCUGCCAUCUCUGCUCUACCGCUGGUCCUCCCAACAACCAACUUACAGGUUUGGGGGCACACGUGAAGGUUUGACAUAUAGUAAACACAUGUCAUGGUGGUUUGUUGUACAGAUUAUUACAUCACCCAGGUACUAAGCCCAGUACCCAAUAGUUGUCUUUUCUGCUCCUCUCCCUCCUCCCGCCCUCAAGAAGACCCCCGUGUCUGCACUUUCCUUCUUUGUGUUCGUAAGUUCUUAUCAUUUAGCUCCCAAUGCUUUCCAUUCUUUUAGAUAUAUGUGCCCUUGGCAUUUUUGCCCUUUUGGGCCCCUUCUUCCAGCAAAUAAUAAUAAUAGUAAUAAUUAAUUCUAUUUUACAACUAUUGGUAUAAAGACAAAUAUAUUAAUUUUUUUUUUUUUUCCGAGACAGGGUUUCACUCCCGUCACCCAGACUGGAGUACAAUGGUGCGAUCUCAGCUCACUGCAACCUCUGCCUCCUGGGCUUAAGCGAUUCUCCUGCCUUGGCCUCCCAAGUAGCUGGGAUUACAGGUGCCUGCCACCACUCCUGGCUAAUUUUUGUAUUUUUUGUAAAGGCGGAGUUUCUCCAUGUUGCCCAGGCUAGUCUCAAACUCCUGAGCUCAAGCAAUCCACCCGCCUCGGCCUCCCAAAUAAGUGGAAUUAUAGGUGUGAGCCACCACGCCGGCCCUGAUGUAUCAAUAUUAAAACAUUUUCUUCAGCCUACAAGUUCUUCUUUUUCUUAUUUGGAUGCAAACUAAAACAUUUUGUGGGCCCUUAGAUUGAACAUUCUCAUGGGUCCUGUGCCUCCUGUGCGUCAUGGAGAAGGCAGCCCUGCAUGGCUCUCACAUCCUCUUCCCCCACGCAAAUG
This 1684-nucleotide long non-coding RNA is filed under the name Homo sapiens (human). Its description in RNAcentral is "HSALNT0148193". The record is from RNAcentral. Lineage: Eukaryota; Metazoa; Chordata; Mammalia; Primates; Hominidae.